This 715-nucleotide long non-coding RNA is filed under the name Marmota monax (woodchuck). Lineage: Eukaryota; Metazoa; Chordata; Mammalia; Rodentia; Sciuridae. The record is from RNAcentral.
CUUGGUCCUGGAGAAGGCUUCUUAGGCUUCUUUAUUGCUCCCCCAGGUGCUGUGACUUUGGCUUUGGGUCUCUCAACUGUGACAGAGCCACACUGCCCUGGGGUUGCAGGCGUCAGGGGAACUGGCACCACUAUGCUGAUGCUUCCCUUGCUCACUCUGCUGCCAUGAACAGUCAUUUGUCUUCCUGCUACAGUCUCCAGAGUUGCAACAAGGCACCCUGCUCAUUGCUUGGUCAUGUCCUUUAGAGUCUUGUUACUUUUUGCCAUCUCUUGAGAGCCUGGGAUUUUUCCCAAAGUGGCAUAAAGUUCAGGAUGCCAAGGUAGGUAACCCCUCUUUGGAAGAAAAAAGGCAGAGACGUUGGAAACUCCCUGGGGCUGCUAGCAAUUGUUAUUGCCCAAAUGGUACAGAAGCAGGCUGGAGAUGACCCACCUCUGUCCUACGUGUGAAUGAGCACAAGUUGGAGGCUCCAUGGAUGGGACUGGAGGUGAGGGAUGACAUUUAAUCAGCUGCCCUGGUGGCACAUGCUCUCCUGUGGGACGAUACUCACGGAGCAUUCUGGGCCCCAUCAGAGAGGAAAGCAUAAUUGUGCCAAGUUUUUUUCGCAACCAAGAAUAUCUGGAGGGCAUUAUGUCCCACAGAGCACAUCCAUUAUGAGCGGGGAAGGAGGAAAGUGCAGGGGUGCUGUCCUCAACACUGAAGAGCUGUCAGAAACUGG